AGUGAACGCUGGCGGUAGGCCUAACACAUGCAAGUCGAACGGCAGCACAGUAAGAGCUUGCUCUUACGGGUGGCGAGUGGCGGACGGGUGAGGAAUACAUCGGAAUCUACUUUUUCGUGGGGGAUAACGUAGGGAAAUUUUACGCUAAUACCGAAUACGACUUACGGGUGAAAGCAGGGGAUCUUCGGACUUUGCGCGAUUGAAUGAGCCGAUGUCGGAUUAGCUAGUUGGCGGGGUAAAGGCCCACCAAGGCGACGAUCCGUAGCUGGUCUGAGAGGAUGAUCAGCCACACUGGAACUGAGACACGGUCCAGACUCCUACGGGAGGCAGCAGUGGGGAAUAUUGGACAAUGGGCGCAAGCCUGAUCCAGCCAUACCGCGUGGGUGAAGAAGGCCUUCGGGUUGUAAAGCCCUUUUGUUGGGAAAGAAAAGCAGCAGGUUAAUACCCCGCUGUUCUGACGGUACCCAAAGAAUAAGCACCGGCUAACUUCGUG
RNAcentral lists this ribosomal RNA (493 nucleotides) under uncultured bacterium. Its description in RNAcentral is "partial 16S ribosomal RNA". It matches the Rfam family "Bacterial small subunit ribosomal RNA", at positions 29 to 507 of the family's 1533-position model. The record is from RNAcentral.